CACAUCCCUGGACAGACCCUCUACUUUAGUAUUUUUCCUGAAAGUCAUGUGAUUUACAGGAAAGAGAUUUAAGACUUCUGGCAUUUCAAUAACAUGCAGAUCGUUUCUUUUUGGCUGACAUGCUUCCUGGAUAACAUGAGUACACUUAUUUAAGCCCAGAACAUAGUGGCAAAAAAAUACAGCAGAAGAAUUCAAGAAAACAAGACACAUCUCUGAUAUACUAUCCAGCAGAAACACUCAGUUUGCUGUUCGGAGCACAGAUUUCCUGAGAACAGAAGAACUGAAGUAAAGUCAGAGCAGCAGAAGUUUCUGUUUAUCUGACAGAUUACAGUUUGUUGAUAAGCACAUAUAAUUUUAUCCCUGCCUGAAGAGAAGAUCAUUGGUUGAAGUGCUUGAAGAUCUUGUGUUUUAGCUCUACAUCUGUCUUAAGAUGCCUGAAAACCAACAUAAAUCCUCCAAUCGCGCUUCCAAGAAAGAGGAAGGAAAAGAUUCUACACUCAGUGACAUAGCUGAGGAUUUGUCAUCAUACUUUAAAAAGUUUUCUCAGUUUAAAAAAUAUGAAAAAGAUAUUAAAAGGAAAUACAAAAAGUAUUAUAAUACUACACUGCCUGAUCGCUGGCCAGUUGAGUUCAUCAACAAAGCUUGGAGAAAAA
Megalobrama amblycephala (Wuchang bream) is the source of this 653-nucleotide long non-coding RNA. RefSeq lists it as uncharacterized. The record is from RefSeq and is a predicted model, not a curated record. Lineage: Eukaryota; Metazoa; Chordata; Actinopteri; Cypriniformes; Xenocyprididae. The transcript is spliced from 3 exons.